RNAcentral lists this transfer RNA (72 nucleotides) under Amnibacterium kyonggiense. RNAcentral describes it as "tRNA-Thr". It matches the Rfam family "tRNA". Rfam says of the family: Transfer RNA (tRNA) molecules are approximately 80 nucleotides in length. Their secondary structure includes four short double-helical elements and three loops (D, anti-codon, and T loops). Lineage: Bacteria; Bacillati; Actinomycetota; Actinomycetes; Micrococcales; Microbacteriaceae. The record is from RNAcentral. RNAcentral also lists the same sequence under 5 other names.
GCCCCGAUAGCUCAGUGGUAGAGCAUCUCCAUGGUAAGGAGAAGGUCAAGAGUUCAAUCCUCUUUCGGGGCU